UUUUUUUUUUUUUAAUCCUUAGAAGUUUUGGUAUGAGGCUUAAUUUUUGUGGGCUUUCCAUACUUCAGUACUGCCAGUAAGUAGUUUUUAGAACCUAAUUUCACAAAAUUUUAGCAACUCCCUCGCUCAGUUCAUUUUCUUGAAAUAACUAGCUACAAUUUUAUUUUUAUAAUGUUGGGUAAUUUUCCUGUGAUAUCCUUUUAUCAGUUUUACAUACACCCAUUCUGGCUAGCAGUUUGCUCUUGUAGGAUUUUUUUUUUCUAUUUAUUGUUGAUUGACUGAGCUGUUAGAAUUUCAUGGUU
This 302-nucleotide unclassified non-coding RNA is filed under the name Hevea brasiliensis (rubber tree). Lineage: Eukaryota; Viridiplantae; Streptophyta; Magnoliopsida; Malpighiales; Euphorbiaceae. The record is from RNAcentral.